RNAcentral lists this ribosomal RNA (325 nucleotides) under uncultured eukaryote. Its description in RNAcentral is "partial 18S ribosomal RNA". It matches the Rfam family "Eukaryotic small subunit ribosomal RNA", at positions 1470 to 1796 of the family's 1831-position model. The record is from RNAcentral.
CCCUUAGAUGUUCUGGGCUGCACGCGCGCUACACUGCUGCAAUUAACGGGUUUUCUGUGCCGAAAGGCUUGGGGAAUCCUUUGAAUAUGCGGCGUGAUGGGGAUAGAAUAUUGUAAUUAUUACUCUUCAACGAGGAAUGCCUAGUAAGCGCAAGUCAUCAGCUUGCGUUGAUUACGUCCCUGCCCUUUGUACACACCGCCCGUCGCUCCUACCGAUUGAAUGGUCCGGUGAAGCGUUCGGACCGUGGCCUUUGGACGGUUCGCCGUCUGUUGGCUGCGGGAAGUUCGUUAAACCUUAUCAUUUAGAGGAAGGAGAAGUCGUAACA